This 268-nucleotide ribosomal RNA is filed under the name uncultured bacterium. RNAcentral describes it as "partial 16S ribosomal RNA". It matches the Rfam family "Bacterial small subunit ribosomal RNA", at positions 524 to 790 of the family's 1533-position model. The record is from RNAcentral.
UACGUAGGGUGCAAGCGUUGUCCGGAAUUAUUGGGCGUAAAGAGCUCGUAGGCGGUUUGUCGCGUCUGCUGUGAAAACUCGGGGCUUAACUCCGGGCCUGCAGUGGGUACGGGCAGACUAGAGUGCGGUAGGGGAGACUGGAAUCCUGGGUGUAGCGGUGAAAUGCGCAGAUAUCAGGAGGAACACCGGUGGCGAAGGCGGGUCUCUGGGCCGUAACUGACGCUGAGGAGCGAAAGCGUGGGGAGGCGAACAGGAUUAGAUACCGUUG